RNAcentral lists this ribosomal RNA (133 nucleotides) under uncultured bacterium. RNAcentral describes it as "partial 16S ribosomal RNA". The record is from RNAcentral.
GGUACCGUCACGAACCAAGCCUAUUCGACUUGGAACCAUUCUUCCCUUAGGACAGAUCUUUACACUCCUUAAAGCGUCAUCGGUCACGCGGCGUUGCUGCGUCAGACUUUCGUCCAUUGCGCAAUAUUCCCCA